RNAcentral lists this ribosomal RNA (345 nucleotides) under Triticum aestivum (bread wheat). Its description in RNAcentral is "partial small subunit ribosomal RNA". The record is from RNAcentral. Lineage: Eukaryota; Viridiplantae; Streptophyta; Magnoliopsida; Poales; Poaceae.
AUGUCGUCAUCAAGGUCGAGGCCGUCGUUCAGGAACUGGUUGAUCCGAGAACCAGCCGCCGGGAUGGUGGCCUCCGCCAGGAUCUGCAUGAUCUCGUCCAUGCUCUGCAUCGGCUGUUCCGGCUCCUCAUACUGGCUGCUCAUGGUGCUAUCAUCCACCAGGUCAGCUGGGAGAUUCUUCAAGAACCACGGAUGGUUUCUUAUCUCGGGGAUUGUGAUUCUCUGCUGUAGCUGGGUUGCCCACGAAAAUCUUGGCGAUAAGAUCUCGACACUCGGCAGAUAUGUGCACGUAAUCGGGAAUCGAGUACUGCACACUCAGUAUCCUCUGGCAAAACAAGCGCAUUAG